GAUGAACGCUGGCGGCGUGCCUAAUACAUGUAAGUCGAGCGAACGGACGAGAAGCUUGCUUCUCUGAUGUUAGCGGCGGACGGGUGAGUAACACGUGGAUAACCUACCUAUAAGACUGGGAUAACUUCGGGAAACCGGAGCUAAUACCGGAUGAUAUUUUGAACCGCAUGGUUCAAAAGUGAAAGACGGUCUUGCUGUCACUUAUAGAUGGAUCCGCGCUGCAUUAGCUAGUUGGUAAGGUAACGGCUUACCAAGGCAACGAUGCAUAGCCGACCUGAGAGGGUGAUCGGCCACACUGGAACUGAGACACGGUCCAGACUCCUACGGGAGGCAGCAGUAGGGAAUCGUCCGCAAUGGGCGAAAGCCUGACGGAGCAACGCCGCGUGAGUGAUGAAGGUCUUCGGAUCGUAAAACUCUGUUAUUAGGGAAGAACAUAUGUGUAAGGAACUGUGCACAUCUUGACGGUACCUAAUCAGAAAGCCACGGCUAACUACGUG
This 497-nucleotide ribosomal RNA is filed under the name uncultured bacterium. Its description in RNAcentral is "partial 16S ribosomal RNA". It matches the Rfam family "Bacterial small subunit ribosomal RNA", at positions 28 to 507 of the family's 1533-position model. The record is from RNAcentral.